Molecule: ribosomal RNA, 496 nt
Filed under: uncultured bacterium
Lineage: Bacteria
Description: partial 16S ribosomal RNA
Rfam family: Bacterial small subunit ribosomal RNA
Source: RNAcentral
AUGAACGCUGGCGGCGUGCCUAAUACAUGCAAGUCGAGCGAACAGAUAAGGAGCUUGCUCCUUUGACGUUAGCGGCGGACGGGUGAGUAACACGUGGGUAACCUACCUAUAAGACUGGGAUAACUUCGGGAAACCGGAGCUAAUACCGGAUAACAUUUGGAACCGCAUGGUUCUAAAGUGAAAGAUGGUUUUGCUAUCACUUAUAGAUGGACCCGCGCCGUAUUAGCUAGUUGGUAAGGUAACGGCUUACCAAGGCGACGAUACGUAGCCGACCUGAGAGGGUGAACGGCCACACUGGAACUGAGACACGGUCCAGACUCCUACGGGAGGCAGCAGUAGGGAAUCUUCCGCAAUGGGCGAAAGCCUGACGGAGCAACGCCGCGUGAGUGAUGAAGGGUUUCGGCUCGUAAAACUCUGUUAUUAGGGAAGAACAAAUGUGUAAGUAACUGUGCACGUCUUGACGGUACCUAAUCAGAAAGCCACGGCUAACUACGUG